This is a long non-coding RNA of Paramisgurnus dabryanus, 524 nucleotides long. RefSeq lists it as uncharacterized. The record is from RefSeq and is a predicted model, not a curated record. Lineage: Eukaryota; Metazoa; Chordata; Actinopteri; Cypriniformes; Cobitidae.
AUCGGGGCAAAUGUGGAGUGAAGAAAAACGUUUGCAACACAUCCAUUCCAGAGUGCUCUGACAGAUAAAACUGACACGCUUGAUGAGGACACAGUCAAGCUUUAAAAGCCCGUGUGAUAAAGCAGUCUUCAAUUACUACGGUGUCUGAAUUGCAAGAAGAAGUCACCCUCCACUUAAACAUGUGACAUCUAAACUGUUUUGUGUUUUAGUUCAGCUUUUCAUAGGUUUAUCUUAAGUUGGUUAAAGGCAGAGUGCACAAUUUUUGAAAGCCAAUGUUAACAUUUGAAAUUACCUAAACAAACAUGUCUCUACCCCAAUAGAAUCUGGACCUUCUUUUGAUAGAGCCACCACACACAUACGCAACCCCGGCAAGGAUGUCAGUUAGUAGACACGCCCCUUACUGCUGGUUGGCUACAAGUGUGUUUUGGUAGUCGGCCCAAUUUCCUUUUCCAAAGUGUUUUUUAAACAUUGUGCACUCCGUCUUUAAAUUGCACUUAAACAUUUUUUUUCAUUCAUUUUUUAUU